GUGGACCACUCGUACACGCCGGUUCCCCGCGCCGUCCGCACCCGCCUGACGGAUGCUCGCCAAGCGGCUCCGAGCUGUUUACG
Molecule: small RNA, 83 nt
Filed under: Xanthomonas euroxanthea
Lineage: Bacteria; Pseudomonadati; Pseudomonadota; Gammaproteobacteria; Lysobacterales; Lysobacteraceae
Description: sRNA sX9
Rfam family: Xanthomonas sRNA sX9
Source: RNAcentral